AUUGAACGCUGGCGGUAUGCUUAACACAUGCAAGUUGAACGUGAAGCCACUUCGGUGGUGGAAAGUAGCGCACGGGUGAGUAACACGUGGGAAUUUACACUUCAGUAAGGAACAACAGUUGGAAGCGACUGCUAAUACCUUAUAAUGACUCCGGUCCAAAGAUUUAUCGCUGAAGGAUAAGCCCGCGUCUGAUUAGCUAGUUGGUGAGGUAAAGGCUCACCAAGGCGACGAUCAGUAGGGGGUUUGAGAGGAUGAUCCCCCACACUGGAACUGAGACACGGUCCAGACUCCUACGGGAGGCAGCAGUGAGGAAUAUUGGACAAUGGGCGAAAGCCUGAUCCAGCCAUGCCGCGUGAGUGAAGAAGGCCCUAGGGUUGUAAAGCUCUUUCAAUUGUGAAGAUAAUGACGGUAGCAAUAGAAGAAGCUCCGGCUAACUCAGUG
This 441-nucleotide ribosomal RNA is filed under the name uncultured bacterium. RNAcentral describes it as "bacterial SSU rRNA". It matches the Rfam family "Bacterial small subunit ribosomal RNA", at positions 30 to 507 of the family's 1533-position model. The record is from RNAcentral.